GACGAACGCUGGCGGCGUGCUUAACACAUGCAAGUCGAACGGAAAGGCCCUGCUUGCCGGGUACUCGAGUGGCGAACGGGUGAGUAACACGUGGGUGAUCUGCCCUGCACUUCGGGAUAAGCCUGGGAAACUGGUUCUAAUACCGGAUAGGAGCAAUUUUUAGUGUGAUGGUUGGAAAGUUUUUUCGGUGUAGGAUGAGCUCGCGGCCUAUCAGCUUGUUGGUGGGGUAAUGGCCUACCAAGGCGGCGACGGGUAGCCGGCCUGAGAGGGUGGACGGACACAUUGGGACUGAGAUACGGCCCAGACUCCUACGGGAGGCAGCAGUGGGGAAUAUUGCACAAUGGGCGCAAGCCUGAUGCAGCGACGCCGCGUGGGGGAUGACGGCCUUCGGGUUGUAAACUCCUUUCGCUAGGGACGAAGCUUUUUGUGGCGGUACCUAGAUAAGAAGCACCGGCUAACUACGUG
Molecule: ribosomal RNA, 465 nt
Filed under: uncultured bacterium
Lineage: Bacteria
Description: partial 16S ribosomal RNA
Rfam family: Bacterial small subunit ribosomal RNA
Source: RNAcentral